Molecule: long non-coding RNA, 151 nt
Organism: Melitaea cinxia (Glanville fritillary)
Lineage: Eukaryota; Metazoa; Arthropoda; Insecta; Lepidoptera; Nymphalidae
Exons: 2
Source: RefSeq, a predicted model, not a curated record
GGUUUUGGCGCAGUAUCUGGAGCAGACAGUGAGUUGGGAGAAGUUAGGUACCGUUAUUUAUAUAGGUGAGAGUGUCUAUCUAUAGAUUUAAGUGAUUUUUUUACAAUGUAAAUUAAAAUUUAACGAAAUAAAAACUUUAUUUUCACGGCAA